This 468-nucleotide ribosomal RNA is filed under the name uncultured bacterium. RNAcentral describes it as "partial 16S ribosomal RNA". It matches the Rfam family "Bacterial small subunit ribosomal RNA", at positions 28 to 507 of the family's 1533-position model. The record is from RNAcentral.
GACGAACGCUGGCGGCGUGCUUAACACAUGCAAGUCGAACGGAAAGGCCCUGCUUUUGUGGGGUGCUCGAGUGGCGAACGGGUGAGUAACACGUGAGUAACCUGCCCUUGACUUUGGGAUAACUUCAGGAAACUGGGGCUAAUACCGGAUAGGAGCUCCUGCUGCAUGGUGGGGGUUGGAGAGUUUCGGCGGUAGGGGAUGGACUCGAGGCUUAUCAGCUGGUUGGUGGGGUAGUGGCGUACCAGGGCUUAGACGGGUAGCCGGCCUGAGAGGGUGAACGGCCACCAUGGGACUGCGGUACGGCCCAGACUCGUACGGGAGGCAACAGUGGGGAAUAUGGCGCAAUGGGCGGACGCGUGAUGUAGAAACGCCGCGUGCGGGAUGACGGCCUUCGGGUUGUAAACCGCUUUCGCCUGUGACGAAGCGUGAGUGACGGUAAUGGGUAAAGAAGCACCGGCUAACUACGUG